GACGAACGCUGGCGGCGUGCUUAACACAUGCAAGUCGAACGGAAAGGCCCUGCUUUUGUUGGGUGCUCGAGUGGCGAACGGGUGAGUAACACGUGAGUAACCUGCCCUUGACUUUGGGAGAACUUCAGGAAACUGGGGCUAAUACCGGAUAGGAGCUCCUGCUGCAUGUUGGGUGUUGGAAAGUUUCGGCGGUUGGUGAUGGACUCGCGGCGUAUCAGCGUGUUGGUGGGGUAGUGGCUUACCAAGGCUUUGACGGGUAGCCGGCCUGAGAGGGUGACCGGCCACAUUGGGACUGAGAUACGGCCCAGACUCCUACGGGAGGCAGCAGUGGGGAAUAUUGCACAAUGGGCGGAAGCCUGAUGCAGCAACGCCGCGUGCGGGAUGACGGCCUUCGGGUUGUAAACCGCUUUCGCCUGUGACGAAGCGUGAGUGACGGUAAUGGGUAAAGAAGCACCGGCUAACUACGUG
RNAcentral lists this ribosomal RNA (468 nucleotides) under uncultured bacterium. RNAcentral describes it as "partial 16S ribosomal RNA". It matches the Rfam family "Bacterial small subunit ribosomal RNA", at positions 28 to 507 of the family's 1533-position model. The record is from RNAcentral.